GCCUGGUUGGCUCAGUGGUUGAGUGUCUGCCUUUGGCCCAGGGUGUGAUCCUGGAGACCUGGGAUUGAGUCCCACAUCAGGCU
Molecule: transfer RNA, 83 nt
Filed under: Canis lupus familiaris (dog)
Lineage: Eukaryota; Metazoa; Chordata; Mammalia; Carnivora; Canidae
Also listed under: 1 other name
Rfam family: tRNA
About the family: Transfer RNA (tRNA) molecules are approximately 80 nucleotides in length. Their secondary structure includes four short double-helical elements and three loops (D, anti-codon, and T loops).
Source: Rfam by way of RNAcentral